Molecule: ribosomal RNA, 1440 nt
Filed under: Halomassarina thalassiae
Lineage: Eukaryota; Fungi; Ascomycota; Dothideomycetes; Pleosporales; Trematosphaeriaceae
Description: bacterial SSU rRNA
Rfam family: Eukaryotic small subunit ribosomal RNA
Source: RNAcentral
UGAAGAGAGCAUUAUACCGUGAAACUGCGAAUGGCUCAUUAAAUCAGUUAUCGUUUAUUUGAUGGUACCUUUACUACUUGGAUAACCGUGGUAAUUCUAGAGCUAAUACAUGCUAAAAACCCCAACUUCGGGAGGGGUGUAUUUAUUAGAUACAAAACCAAUGCCCUUUGGGGCUCUUUGGUGAUUCAUAAUAACUUCUCAGAUCGCAUGGCCUUGAGCCGGCGACGGUUCAUUCAAAUUUCUGCCCUAUCAACUUUCGAUGGUUCGGUAUUGGCCAACCAUGGUGGCAACGGGUAACAGGUUUUAAGCGAAAGAUUCUGGAGAAGGAGCCUGAGAAACGGCUCCUACAUCCAAGGAAGGCAGCAGGCGCGCAAAUUACCCAAUGCCGACACGGCGAGAGUAGUGACAAUACAUACUGAUACAGGGCUCUUUUGGGUCUUGUAAUUGGAAUGAGUACAAUUUAAACCUCUUAACGAGGAACAAUUGGAGGGCAAGUCUGGUGGUAGAUGUUUACAUCCUAUCUGCUGACGCCAGAAAUAGUCGGACAUUCUCAAUAAGAGUUAAGCCGGCUGGUCGAGUACCUGUUAAUUGAUGGGAAGGUACCGGCGAGACAACCUGGAUCGGGAGAGGCUAAGGUGCAGAUGCGCUACGCUGAUCCUGAGCAGAGCUUCCGUGGAGCGAUCCGUGGAUGGCCUGUGUAGAGCGCGCAAAGGUGUCGGCCAGCUCACGUAGUUGGCUUAAGGGACGUGCCAUUCCCAUCUGAAAGGGUGGUUGCCAGCAUGAGCGCCUAUCACGCAAGGGCUGGCAGAUUCAAAACACUUAAAAUCGCAAGAGUCUUAAGAAAAGCAUCAUGCGGGUGGAUGGGGAACUGCACCCCAGGCUCUUUUCAGUGUGUUGAAAAGAAGUUAUUGCUAUAAGGCCAGCAGCCGCGUUAAUUCCAGCUCCAAUAGCGUAUAUUAAAAUUGUUGCAGUAAAAAGUAUUGUAGUUGAACCUUUGGCCUGGCGGGCAGGUCCGCCUCACCGCGUGCACUGGUCCGUCUGGGCUUUCUUUUAUGGAGAACCGCAUGCCCUUCAUUGGUGGUGGGCUGGGGAACCAGGACUUUUACUUUGAAAAAAUUAGAGUGUUCAAAGCAGGCCUUUGCUAGAAUACGUUAGCAUGGAAUAAUAGAAUAGGACGGCAGUUCUAUUUUGUUGGUUUCUAGAACCGCCGUAAUGAUUAAUAGGGACAGUGCGGGGGCAUCAGUAUUCAAUAGUCAGAGGUGAAAUUCUUGGAUUUAUUGAAGACUAACUGCUGGGAAAGCAUUUGCCAAGGAUGUUUUCAUUAAUCAGUGAACGAAAGUUAGGGGAUCGAAGACGAUCAGAUACCGUCGUAGUCUUAACCAUAAACUAUGCCGACUAGGGAUCGGGCGUGUUUCUAUUUUGACUCGCUCGGCACCUUAC